Molecule: long non-coding RNA, 2524 nt
Filed under: Linum usitatissimum (flax)
Lineage: Eukaryota; Viridiplantae; Streptophyta; Magnoliopsida; Malpighiales; Linaceae
Description: long non-coding RNA (LUSI_LNC006673)
Source: RNAcentral
CAAUCGAUGAAAUAGUCAAAAGGACUUAUUGGGAUGCAGAUUACUACAGCCACUCUCAUCAUUUUUAUAGUUUCUUGUUUUAUGAGGGAAUUCCUCUGUCAUGAUGAGAUUCAAUGUCAGGAGAUCCUUGAGGAAGUCGAAGCUAAGUGCGGCAAGAAAAGGUAAUUUAGAGUUGUAGCUUUCAUUUCCCAGAUGGUGGGUGAUUUUUAGAUCUUACUUGGGCACCUUCUUAAAAUCUCCUUCCUAACCAUCUGUUGUUUUCAUGUCUAUCGUAUUUUGGUUAUUUGGAGUUUCUACCGUGUUGUGUUUUGAUUUCAAGGACGAAAUCUCUUAAAGGAGGGGAGUGUUGUAACAUCCCAAUCGCAUUAACUUAAUUUUCCUCUAAUUUAUAUAUGAGAUACGUAUGAUGAAGAUCCUGCUUGGUAUAAUGUUUAAUGUUAAACUCACGAGAUUGAGGAAUUUAGUUGAAAUCGUCAAAAUGAUAAAUCUAACUGGUUAAUUAGUAUAAAAACCGAGUUUAAUGUUUAUGAAGGUUCCUAUGUAGAUUGAAUCAUGAAAUCAUAUGUGGCAGAUUGGUCUACAGGCUUGCCUCAUAUUUAGUAGGCCCAAGUUCAAAUCCCAACACUGGCCUUUUAUUUAUGAUUUUAUGUUUGAGUGAAACGACGUCAUUUUGGUCAACUGAACGAACAGCUUCUUCUCCGACCUUUGAUCCCCACCGACGCCCUCAUUUGUUUCUCCAGCGACACCUUUAACUACACUAAUUGUUGAUUCUGGCUCCAUUUACAUAAUCAAAUUCCAUCAUAACACACUAAUCCAUAACAGUAGUCAUUUCCAAAUGACUGUCCAUCUUCAUAAUGCAAUGAAUCGACCAAGUCGUCGAAUCGGUGGUCUUGACGUUGGACGUCAUUUUGUGCCGGCCAGUGAUAUUGGUAGAACAACAACACGAGUUUGUUGUCCAUCUGUCUUACGAGCAGUCUCCUACCUGUAUUUAAAUCCACUUGAACCUUAUUGGAUGAAAAAACACCCAGAAAGAAAACUUCUAGUUCCUAAGUCAUUCUCCGACGAGAUUAACGGCUAACGAGGAACUUAAUGAUCUAGGCAACUCUGUUAUGGUUUCUUCAUCUUUUUUUAUGACACUUCCGAUGGGAGUUGCGUCGAGGACUUCUAGACGUGCCCAUGGUUCCUAACGCAUCUUGCUAGAUUCGUGACGAUUAUAGGAAGCUUCCCGUGUCAUUAUUUGCUGAUUUCAAGCUAAGUUCAUGACCAUUGAAGCUCACUAGAUGGGUGUUUCACCGGAAACCGUCUAUGUACUUAAGGAAGAUUAUGGUAAAAUUCCUUUUUAGUACCCUAAAUUUAUUUUCCAAUUUAUUUCUCCUAGUUUUGGUAAUCUCCCGCGUAACCCGUAAGUUUUAAAUAUGGACAGCCGUAGCCCAGGAACUUUCUAGCCAUUACAGUUUAGCCCGGACAGUUAUGAAAGGGAUGUAAUUGACCGAUUCUUGGACCGUGGAUAUAUAUUUCGAACUGAAAAUGAUUCACCCAAGAUGGGUUGGUUAAAGGGGUAAAUUCCAUCGUAAUAAUUGAUUGAAUGAUUGAUUUUCCUAAUAUGCUUUCUUUGACAUGCAUACCAAGUAAAGUGGAUUUGUGAUAAAGUGGCAAUGUUACAAGGUCAAGUGUUCAUGAUUUAUUUACCAUUGGUUGUGAUAAAUGUGAUGGUGUACCUAAUUGGUAUGAUAUGUGUUUUAUGAUUUGUUAUUCAAUCAUUACUCAUAUGGUCACAAAUAUAUGUUAAUGGUGUAGUAAUGAGAAUUAUUUGAUCACCUAGAUUAGGGCUCCUAUGCUGGUGAUCUACGUAUGUGCUUAUUGCACUACUGCUACGUGUCAAUGGCCCCGAAUGGGUGCGAAAAUGGGCCCUUAAUGGUGCCACCAAUGAUAAGUGAAAUGGGCAUGAAUUGUGCCACCAAUGAUAAGUGAAAUGUGCAUGAAUUGUACUAUCAAUGAUAUGUUAAUACAUGGGAAUUGUCAGCAUACGUGAGCCAGGAAUCCCAACUAAAAUAUGAAAAGAGUCCGAGUCAUAUUGCUUAUAUGUUUGGUGAUUGUAAUCUUUAUUGCGAUUUAUGAGGACUGACCCUGAGCCACCCACCAGAUGUUUAUAGGUUAACAGGGAAUUGCUAUGAUCGAUCGUCGGAGUUUCUAUGGCCAAGCUAAUGUUAACAAGGGCAAUGAGAUUGGGUGAUUUGGAGCUUGGUUCCGACAUUGAUUUAAAUGCAUGUGAGAGACAGCUUCCAAAAUAAGUAUUCAUGGUGUAUUUAAAUGUUUCUUCUUGUUUUGGUAAAAGAUGGCUAUUUAUAUUUGAAUUGAAGGAGUAACUACCCCUUGCAAAGUCAAGAGUCCAUUCCGAGACAAUUUUUUUAUCUUUAUUUAUCUGUUAUAAGAGUUGGGAUGUUAUAGAAGUAAUUGAACAUAAACCCCCACCUCGAAUCGCUUUCCUAAAGGGUAUGAACUGAGGGAGCCGUCCAAGUGCUUA